GUUCACAUACACGUCAUUCAUUCAUUAUUGAUAAACGUGCACACAUGCACACAAAACUUGGGGUAUGCAGCUUGACGUCAUGCACAGCUUUCCCCACAAUAAUAGUGGAAGGAGGGCUGCUAACAGCAGCUAUCCCAAAGGUCCAUGAUGAGGCCCCACACAUGUUCAGCACAGACUGCCGCUAUUAUCACAUUCUGCAGCUGCCAGAUCUGAGAUACACAAUGGCGGAUCGUGGAGCCUCUCAAUCGUUCUCCGG
Molecule: long non-coding RNA, 256 nt
Organism: Notothenia coriiceps (black rockcod)
Lineage: Eukaryota; Metazoa; Chordata; Actinopteri; Perciformes; Nototheniidae
Exons: 4
Source: RefSeq, a predicted model, not a curated record